GACGAACGCUGGCGGCGUGCUUAACACAUGCAAGUCGAACGGAAAGGCCCUGCUCUUGUGGGGUGCUCGAGUGGCGAACGGGUGAGUAACACGUGAGUAACCUGCACUUGACUUUGGGAUAACUUCAGGAAACUGGGGCUAAUACCGGAUAGGAGCUCCUGCUGCAUGGUGGGGGUCGGAAAGUUUCGGCGGUUGGGGAUGGACUCGCGGCUUAUCAGCUUGUUGGUGGGGUAGUGGCUUACCAAGGCUUUGACGGGUAGCCGGCCUGAGAGGGUGACCGGCCACAUUGGGACUGAGGUACGGCCCAGACUCCUACGGUAGGCAGCAGUGGGGAAUAUUGCACAAUGGGCGGAAGCCUGAUGCGACAGCGCCGCGUGCGGGAUGACGGCCUUCGGGUUGUAAACCGCUUUCGCCUGUGACGAAGCGUGAGUGACGGUAAUGGGUAAAGAAGCACCGGCUAACUACGUG
Molecule: ribosomal RNA, 468 nt
Filed under: uncultured bacterium
Lineage: Bacteria
Description: partial 16S ribosomal RNA
Rfam family: Bacterial small subunit ribosomal RNA
Source: RNAcentral